Molecule: ribosomal RNA, 234 nt
Filed under: Burkholderia ubonensis
Lineage: Bacteria; Pseudomonadati; Pseudomonadota; Betaproteobacteria; Burkholderiales; Burkholderiaceae
Description: partial 23S ribosomal RNA
Rfam family: Bacterial large subunit ribosomal RNA
Source: RNAcentral
GAACCUCUGGUGUACCGGUUGUGACGCCAGUCGCAUCGCCGGGUAGCUAUGUUCGGAAGAGAUAACCGCUGAAAGCAUCUAAGCGGGAAACUCGCCUUAAGAUGAGAUAUCCCUGGAGGCUUGACCUCCUUGAAGGGUCGUUCGAGACCAGGACGUUGAUAGGUCGGGUGUGUAAGCGCAGUAAUGCGUUCAGCUAACCGAUACUAAUUGCCCGUAAGGCUUGAUCCUAUAACA